AUUGAACGCUGGCGGCAUGCUUUACACAUGCAAGUCGAACGGUAACAGGCCUUCGGGUGCUGACGAGUGGCGAACGGGUGAGUAAUGCAUCGGAACGUACCCAGAGGUGGGGGAUAACGCAGCGAAAGCUGUGCUAAUACCGCAUGUGAUCUGAGGAUGAAAGCGGGGGACCGAGCAGCAAUGUUUGGCCUCGCGCCUUUGGAGCGGCCGAUGUCGGAUUAGCUAGUUGGUGGGGUAAAGGCCUACCAAGGCGACGAUCCGUAGCUGGUCUGAGAGGACGACCAGCCACACUGGGACUGAGACACGGCCCAGACACCUACGGGAGGCAGCAGUGGGGAAUUUUGGACAAUGGGCGCAAGCCUGAUCCAGCAAUGCCGCGUGCGGGAAGAAGGCCUUCGGGUUGUAAACCGCUUUUGGCAGGAACGAAACGGUGUCCGCUAAUACCGGGCGCUAAUGACGGUACCUGCAGAAUAAGCACCGGCUAACUACGUG
Molecule: ribosomal RNA, 492 nt
Filed under: uncultured bacterium
Lineage: Bacteria
Description: partial 16S ribosomal RNA
Rfam family: Bacterial small subunit ribosomal RNA
Source: RNAcentral